CAAUAAUAAUACUGUUUGAUUUGUUUGUCAUAAAUUUACUGGCUGAUUUGAAAGAAUUAGACAAAGGAACAAUUAAAACAACUGAAAUAUAUAGUGAAGAAAAACAUGCUAGAGAAUUAAUUAUAAAAUAUGGCACAAUCAUUGCACUGAAACUCAAUUGUUUGUUUAACUAAGGAGCAAUCAAGUUCUGUUAUUGAUUAGAUCGAAAAUCAAAAGGAAAACUGCUCACAGCAUAGUACAGAAGUUGAGUGGCUUUUCAAUAAAUUAGUUCUUACAGAUCAUGCAAAAUAUAUGAAAGAAGGUAAUGAAUAUUAUUCAAUUAUAAUUAUAAAAAAUAUAUAUGAUGUAUAAUCAAAAAGUAUUGAGACUGAUAAUAUUACUCAAAUGUCACCCAGUCUUCUAUGACUUACUGGGAUCAUUUAUUCUUGAAUAAUCUAUAUAAACUUCUUUGUUUAGAUUUCACCAAUUUUUUUGUAAAAUAUGUUUUUGAGUUUGAUGAUUUUGUAAUGAAUCCUAAUGAAGAGCGAAUUGACAGUUUUUGAGAAUUUAGAAAAUUUGUUUGCAUGUUUUUGUUAGUUUCAGAGAGAUGCAACAUUAUGUGGUUUAUGAUAAUAAGUUUCAAUUGAAAAACUGCAGAUGCACUGUCAAGUGCAUCAACCAGUUUCGCUUCUUUUGGAUUUAUUAAAAAAUCGCCAAAUUUAAAAAUCCAUUUUACAAUAAUAUCAGUGAAAUCAAAACUAAGAAGAUUAUAGAGAUUCUUCAAGAAUAGAUGUGCUCAAUAGAAUACUUUAUGAUUAGCUCUCCUAUAUGUAUAUAUGUUUAAAUUUCUAUACUUAAUAAAUAUGAUAUUCACUAUUCGUUCUUGCUCAUUUAGUUUCAUAUUAGAGUACAAAUAAAUCUUAGGUUUAGACUGGAUGUGAACAAAAUUGUAUAGGCUUCCUUGUUUUCUUUUUUCAUGAUUCUGUUAUCAAAUAACUAGUUAUAUUGUGGAAGUUGAUGUUUUGCUUUAUUUUUAAUUGUAUAAUGUUUAAAUUCAUUGUAUCACUUAAUGGUGGGAUGUGGAGUGGAGUAGUACAUUCAAUACAUGAGUAGUAUAAUUAUUCUUUUACCUCCCUCCUCCCAACUGCUUCUGAGUGUGCUGUGCCUAAAUGAGUAAAUAUGAAAGCUCAACUAUGAACACAAACCAUUUUGGUAAUAUUUAUUUUCAAUUUCUCUAUAGGACUUCAAAUAAAUGCAUAGACUGUAAGCCAAAAUUCCGCCAUAAGUCUUAUUUAAUUUUAUCAUAAUCAGCAUCAUCUGGAUUUAAUGUUGUGAUUCCCUUAGGAAAUAACAGAUUGUUAAUUUUAUUCACUUUAUUUAUUAAUAUAAAUGUUAAUUUUUUUUUUAAUUUUUUGCAGCAUAAAACUUACUGGGAGGCCAAGAAAAUUAUCCAAUAUUGACACAUAUAAACAUACACAAGUAAAAUUAAGUUUUAGUUUAUUUAUUAACUCCAUUGUUAAGUAAGAUUUUUUUGAUUUGUUUCCUAUA
Molecule: non-coding RNA, 1527 nt
Organism: Cinara cedri
Lineage: Eukaryota; Metazoa; Arthropoda; Insecta; Hemiptera; Aphididae
Source: the annotation of a GenBank genome assembly